CCUACGGGAGGCAGCAGUGAGGAAUAUUGGUCAAUGGACGAGAGUCUGAACCAGCCAAGUAGCGUGAAGGAUGACUGCCCUAUGGGUUGUAAACUUCUUUUAUAUGGGAAUAAAAUGUUCCACGUGUGGGAUUUUGUAUGUACCAUAUGAAUAAGGAUCGGCUAACUCCGUGCCAGCAGCCGCGGUAAUACGGAGGAUCCGAGCGUUAUCCUGAUUUAUUGGGUUUAAAGGGAGCGUAGGUGGAUUGUUAAGUCAGUUGUGAAAGUUUGCGGCUCAACCGUAAAAUUGCAGUUGAAACUGGCAGUCUUGAGUACAGUAGAGGUGGGCGGAAUUCGUGGUGUAGCGGUGAAAUGCUUAGAUAUCACGAAGAACUCCGAUUGCGAAGGCAGUUCACUGGACUGCAACUGACACUGAGGCUCGAAAGUGUGGGUAUCAAACAGGAUUAGAUACCCCAGUAGUC
Molecule: ribosomal RNA, 460 nt
Filed under: uncultured bacterium
Lineage: Bacteria
Description: partial 16S ribosomal RNA
Rfam family: Bacterial small subunit ribosomal RNA
Source: RNAcentral